This is a long non-coding RNA of Nannospalax galili (Upper Galilee mountains blind mole rat), 415 nucleotides long. RefSeq lists it as uncharacterized. The transcript is spliced from 2 exons. The record is from RefSeq and is a predicted model, not a curated record. NCBI's taxonomy places the organism in Eukaryota, Metazoa, Chordata, Mammalia, Rodentia, Spalacidae.
GCAGUACCAGCAAACUCCCUGAGAGGGGACUUGCAUCAGUCCCGGCUGCUUCUGCUUCCCCAGUCAGACCUCCGGUUUCUCCCCCCUACACCACCGGCAAGGCUCUGCAAAAUGCUCUGAGCCAGGUACAUGGACUAGUGCAGGAGGCUCAUGAGCCCAGUCAUCCCUCACUGACCACUGAACAGACAGAUCUACAACCUGGUGAUUGGAGUUGAGUCCAUAGACAUCAAGUGCCUAACCUUGAACCCAAGUGGGCUGGUCCAUAUCCGAUCAUCUUGCUGACUCCAACUGCUGUUAAGGUUGCCGGACAUGCCCACUGGAGUCACCGUUCCCAAGUUAAGAGAGCCCAUCCGGACCACAUUCCUCAAACAUGGACAGUAAAAAGAACAGACAAUCCCCUCAAGGUCAGACUGGU